This 358-nucleotide long non-coding RNA is filed under the name Capsella grandiflora. RNAcentral describes it as "long non-coding RNA (CGRA_LNC001579)". The record is from RNAcentral. Lineage: Eukaryota; Viridiplantae; Streptophyta; Magnoliopsida; Brassicales; Brassicaceae.
AGUUUGUCGGUGGGUCGAUGAUCCAUUGGAGUUAUUCGGGUCUUUAGAGGCAGAACAAGUGUUUGUGAAGAAGAAGAAGAAGAAGAAGAAGAAGAAGAAGAAGAAGAAGAAGAGAAACAUCUAUGUGUUCUAAUGAAAAGAAUGAGAAGAAUAAGAAGAUGAAACAGAGGAUGUAAUCUUGAGGACAUGAUGAUGUUAUUGUGAGUUUGUGUUUCUUGCAAGAAAAAUAUAAAAACUAAGUCUGUGUCUGUGAAUAAGAAGAAGAAGAUGCGAAGAAGUUUGGUGCAAGUUCACUGAAGAACAAUGAGAGAUGUUUGUUCUUUUCAGCUGGAAAAAUAUCUCUGUUUUGUUUUAUUUU